AGUCUCGAAGUCGUGUCCAACUCUUUUGAGACUCCAUGAAUGGUAGCCCACCAGGCUCCUCUGUCCAUGGGACUCUCCAGUCAAGAAUACUGGAGUGGGUUGCCAUGCCCUUCUCCAAGGGCUCUUCCUAACCCAGAGAUCAAACCCGUGUCUCUUACAUCUUCUGCAUUGGCAGAUGGGUUCUUUACCACUAGCAUCACCUGGGAAGCCUUAAGCUGUGCAACUGGGCAUCAAAACCCUUUGUGGAGAAAUGUCUAUGUCGGUUCUUCUGCCCAUUUUUUGUUUUUGUUUUGUUUUUGUUUUUUAUCGAGUUGCAUGAGUUGUUUAUAUGUUUUGGAAAUUAAUCCUUCGUCAGUUGCUUCAGUUACAAAUAUUUUUUUCCAUUCUGAGGGUUGUCUUCUCAUCUUAUUUAUUGUUUCCUUUGCUGUACAAAAGCUUUUAAGUUAAUUAGGUCCCAUUUAUUUUUGACAUAUAUAUACUACUAUGUAUAAUAUUUAACUUCCAUGCAGAGUACAUUUAACUUCUGUGAGAAAUGCUGGGCUGGAAGAAGCACAAGCUGGAAUCAGGAUUGCCGGGAGAAAUAUCAAUAACCUCAGAUAUGCAGAUGAUACCACCCUUAUGGCAGAAAGUGAAGAGGAACUAAAAAGCCUCUUGAUGAAAGUGAAAGUGGAGAGUGAAAAAGUGGGCUUAAAGCUCAACAUUCAGAAAAUGAAGAUCAUGGCAUUUGGUCCCAUCACUUCAUAGCAAAUAGAUGGGGAAACAGUGGAAACAGUGUCAGACUUUAUUUUUUGGGGCUCCAAAAUCACUGCAGAUGGUGACUGCAGCCAUGAAAUUAAAAGACGCUUACUCCUUGGAAGGAAAGUUAUGACCAACCUAGAUAGCAUAUUGAAAAGCAGAGACGUUACUUUGCCAACAAAGGUCCAUCUAGUCAAGGCUGUGGUUUUUCCAGUAGUCAUGUAUGGAUGUGAAAGUUGGACUGUGAAGAAGGCUGAGCGCCAAAGAAUUGAUGCUUUUGAACUGUGGUGUUGGAGAAGACUCUUGAGAGUCCCUUGGACUGCAAGGAGAUCCAACCAGUCCAUUCUGAA
Bos taurus (domestic cattle) is the source of this 1085-nucleotide long non-coding RNA. The record is from Ensembl. Lineage: Eukaryota; Metazoa; Chordata; Mammalia; Artiodactyla; Bovidae.